RNAcentral lists this transfer RNA (72 nucleotides) under Pseudobranchus axanthus (narrow-striped dwarf siren). RNAcentral's name for it is "tRNA-Leu". Lineage: Eukaryota; Metazoa; Chordata; Amphibia; Caudata; Sirenidae. The record is from RNAcentral.
CUUUUAAAGGAUAAUAGACAUCCACUGAUCUUAGGAGUCAAAAAUUCUUGGUGCAACUCCAAGUAAAAGUAA